This is a long non-coding RNA of Macaca fascicularis (crab-eating macaque), 2423 nucleotides long. The record is from Ensembl. Lineage: Eukaryota; Metazoa; Chordata; Mammalia; Primates; Cercopithecidae.
CGUAACUCUUGGGGAGGAUCUGCGCCCGUUGGUAAACGAGGACGCGCCCCAGUCAGACGCGCCCCAGGCACGGGGUCCCCGGGGCUCCCGGCCGCGCCGUCGGAGCACCCGGCGCGGCCCCGCCCUCCCCGCGCGCGGAGCGGCCGGGGCGGGGACUACAAGUCCCGGCGUGCCGCGCGCGCCUCCCCCUAGGGUUCCGGAUGGUGAGCGGCGAAGGUAAGGCGAGCUCGCAGAGGCAUCGGCGGCGGCGGCGGAGACGGAGAGAGGCAGGCAGGCAGGGCGAGGGCGAGAGACGGAGGGAGCGAGCGAGGCGGACCAGACAGACAGACAGGCGGGCGGGCGGGCAGAGCGAGCCACCCGCCAGGCUGCGCUCAGCCCCGCUCGCAGCGGAGAGAGCAGAAGGCAGGAGGAGGGAGGGGAGGAGGGGGAGGGAGGGAGAGAGGGAAUCCAGCUACCACCACCCAAAGCCAGCGUCUGCUUUCUGUCCUCAUUUCCUUUUCCCACCCAGCUUGGAGAGCAGAGAAAGGCAGAGAGAGCGAGAAAUAGAGACAGUCUGAGAGACAGACAGACAGCCAGAGAGAGCGGGAGGGAGGAGGGCGGAGGAGGAGGAGCAGGAGGACUACGCGGGGCGCGUUCCCUCCCAGGUUUGCAAUUGGGGGGGUGGGGGCGGGGGUGUCCAGGGCUGGGAGAGUGUGUGCGCGGCGGGAGGGCGAGGGGAGCGCAGAGAGCGAAGGAGUGAUCGAGGUGGGGGGGCGCCGCGGGAGCGGGGCCGUGUCCAGCGGAGUUAGCGGCGGAGAAUGUGAGCCGAGGCGCGAGCCAUGCUGUCAGCGACGGCGGGCGGCUCAGGGCUCUUCCACGACUCCUCUCCUCAGCAGCCGGGCGCCCGCGUCGCUGCCACCGCCGGAAGACAGACGCCCCCUAAAACCCCUCGCUUGGCUCGGACCCACGGAGCCGGCAGCCCAGCACUCCGAUGGGAGCUUGCCUGAUUGUCAAGCCAUCGGCCUGGACCCCAGAGCCUACCCAGCUGAGCAUGUGCAGAGGGCCCCGAGUGCGGGGCGACGCUCAGGCCAUUACAGAGACCACCCUGGAGAUGCUGAUGAAGACGGGCCUUUCCUGCUGAGCCGGGCCUGUCUGCACAGCCUGCUCAGGCGCUGUCCACGCCCCGAGGCCUGGGCUCAGGCCGAAGUUGCUCCACAGCACCCCCAGCUGACAGCCAGCGACUGGCAGAGCCCCCAGGCACGGGGGCCCUCUCUCUUCCAGAGAUCUCCAGUGUGACAGCCCAGGCGGCAGAGCCGAGGGUAAGUGGUGGGGGUUCUCCUGGAGCCCUUUGGGGGUAAGGAGCAGGAAGGCUGUGCCCUUGUUAGAGCUUCCUGGCCUUCUCCUUAAGUUUGAUCACCCUGCUGAUGUGCUUCCCUCUCAGAGGCAGGGGUCCUGUUCUUUCUGAGCACAUAGCCAGAUUUCCAAAGGGGAUGAGCUGUCAAUAAGUGAAGCUGGGCCAGGCAUGGUGGCUCACGCCUGUAAUCCCAGUACUUUGGGAGGCCAAGGCGGGUGGAUCAUCUGUGGUCAGGAGCUCAAGACCAGCCUGGCCAACAUGGUGAAACCCCGACUCUACUAAAAUACAAAAAUUAGCCAGGCGUGGUGGCGCGUGCCUGUAAUCCCAGGUACUUGGGAGGCUGACACCUAAGAAUCACUUGCACUAGGAGGCAGAGGUUGCAGUGAGCUGAGAUCACACUACUUCACUCUAGCCUGGGUGACAGAGUGAGACUCUCUUUCAAAAAAAAAAAAAGUGAAACUGGGGCCCAUGAGGGGCUUGCUGUACAUAUGGUGGUUUGAGAAAGGCUGGGAGUCAGCAAGGGGAUUGGGCUUGGGGUGGGGAUGGGAGCUUGGUAAGGAGAUGAGACCUCAGGAGGGAGGGGUCCAGGAGCUCAUCGAGGAUAUGGGAAGCUGAUGAGGAUGUAGGUGUUCAGUAAGGGACCUCCUGCUCUUCCUGCCUGGCAGGUCCUAGUCCCGGCUUCUCGCACCCUCAUGUCAGCCCCGGCCCCGCCCGGCGGCCUGCGGAGGACAAGGUCAGGAUGCGUGUGAAGCCCCAGGGCCUGGUGGUGACUUCCAGUGCCGUGUGCAGCUCUCCUGACUACCUCCGGGAGCCCAAGUACUACCCCGGCGGCCCCCCCACCCCCCGGCCCCUGCUUCCCACCCGGCCCCCUGCCAGCCCACCCGACAAGGCCUUCUCCACCCACGCCUUCUCCGAGAACCCACGCCCACCCCCACGCUGGGACCCCAGCACCCGGCCACCAGUCCUUGCCAGGACCCGCUGCCCCCACGGGCAGCCCGUCCUGUCUCACAGGCCCGCUGCCCCACACCGGCCGGAGACGGCAGCAGCUCCCGACGCUGCUGGGACAACGGGCGGGUGAACCUGCGACCAG